CACGCAUCGUGACGGUUCCGCCUCCUUCCCCAUCCGCCCCUCCUCUACCGACUCGCCCCCUCAUGUUCCUCCCCGUCACCUCCUCUCUCCACCCGCUCGUCGCCGCCGCUCUCACCCACGCGCUCGUGAAUGCCGUCACGCCGGCGCCCGCGUCCGCGCGCUCGUGACAGCCCACUCGCCGUGCGCCCCUCCUCCGCUGACCCGCGCCCCUCUCCUGCGUGGCCCCGUCGCCCCCUCUCUCCCCGUCUGCUCGUCGCCGCUGCUCUCACCCGACCCCCGCGCUCGCGAACUUUGUCACGCCAGCCCCCGCGCACUCGAGACCGCCCGCGCGCUGCGCUCCCCAUCCUCCGCCGAGCCACGGCCCCCUUCUGCGCGGCUCCCAACACCGGCAUCGGUUCCGCCCUCAAUGACACCGGCAUCGAUUCCCCCUCUCGCUUGCCGCCGCUAUCGCCUCUCCACUGCCCCCCUUGCUCUCCAGCCUCCUAGCGCACCGGGCGUCUCCGGCUCCCAGCGCUCCGCGGCUCCCCGACGCGAGGCCUACGGUCCGCCGGCUCCAGCCGCACAGCACCUCCGGCCUCCCAGCGCUCCGCGGCUCCAGACGUGAGGUCCAUGGCCCACCGGAUCUGUGCGCGCGGAGCCUCCAAGGUCCUCUACCGCAUUCGGGGCACAUCUAUGGAAGUUCAGGUAAGCUCUCAUAAGCAGGCUCCUAAUUGCUUCAAAUAAUGGUGAGUUAGGUACGUAUACAUUUGCAGUUACAAAUAAUUUUCACAUUUUAGAGGUUACAACUGCAGGUCUUAGUUCUUUCAGCAUACCUUCAAGUUUGUGGAUAAGGUUUAGAGCAUUCCUGGUGGCUACUGGGUUGAAGAUGAGGUGAUCUUAUACAUGGUAACUAAUGCACAAACUUGCUUGACAUAGGCUCUGAUCCUGAUGCUAAAUGGGGAUUUUUGAACUAGACUAGAAACAAGAGCACCAGGUUAGGUUUCUGCAUUAGAAAGAAGCUCAAUACCUACAUAUCAGGUAAUACAUUAUUUUAAUUAUCCAUUUUGAGUGUCUGUCCCGCUGAAUUUGAAUGCAAAAUUACAAGAAUCUCUUCAUAGACUAAAUAUGUUUUAACUAGAAUAUUUUUGAAAUAUGAGUCACUGCAAACUUAAAUUGUGUCACACUUGAUAUGAGAGAGUGAUGGCGUAUCUGAAUUGUUUAUCACAGAAACUGUGAAGGAAAAAAUUGGCAUUUCUGAAAUGAGCUAUGCUUGGGUGUUGAUAUUUUUUAUUUCAUUGGGAAAGAAGAGGACUUUUCUGUGCAUUUUCAUCCAAACUCAAAUACCCCAUUGUAAUGUACAAAAAAAACAAAAGGUGUGUAUAUAUGCCCCCAUCCACUAUAUAAUAUAUGCAUUAAUGUUAGUUGGAUUUGUGUUUGCUAUAUCCUAUAUGACAGCUGAAUGAACUAGACAGAUACACUGAAUGGUUACUCGGUAAGUGUUUGGUUUUCUGUCAAACUAAGAAAACUCAUGACUGAACUAACUCAAAGUUUAAAUUGCUGAAAACCAGCAAUCAUUCAAACAAGUCAGCUUGAAUAAUCUUUGCACUUACAUAUCCAGGUUCACAUGGUUUGCAUAUUCAAAAAGAUGUACACAAUUGUAGUGUGGUAAGGUGGAUUCGGUGAUCUGUUAGAGCCGGACGCCUGGACCAUGUGAUUCGAAUAUCUAGAGGAUUGGAGCUUCUGUUAGCCAUUAGUCACUGUUGUAACUUGUAAGAUUUUAAGUUGUAAGUCUAAUAUGGAGGAAGAAGAGUACUUGUGUAUCUGUGUCUCACAAUCAAGUUAGUUAUAUUUUAUUGAUUGAGUGUUCACAUGUUUAUUUCAUUGGAAAAUAAGGGGUCUUUAAUGUA
This is a long non-coding RNA of Panicum virgatum (switchgrass), 1886 nucleotides long. RefSeq lists it as uncharacterized. Lineage: Eukaryota; Viridiplantae; Streptophyta; Magnoliopsida; Poales; Poaceae. The record is from RefSeq and is a predicted model, not a curated record. The transcript is spliced from 2 exons.